CUGGCUCAGAACGAACGCUGGCGGCGUGGAUAAGACAUGCAAGUCGCACGGAGUGCCUUCGGGCACUGAGUGGCGCACGGGUGAGUAACACGUGAGUAACCUGCCCCUGAGACAGGGAUAGCCCCGGGAAACUGGGAUUAAUACCUGAUGGUCUCGCAAGAGUAAAGCAGCAAUGCGCUCAGGGAGGGGCUCGCGUCCCAUUAGUUAGUUGGCGGGGUAACGGCCCACCAAGGCGAUGACGGGUAGCCGGUCUGAGAGGAUGUCCGGCCACACUGGAACUGAGACACGGUCCAGACACCUACGGGUGGCAGCAGUCGAGAAUCAUUCACAAUGGGCGAAAGCCUGAUGGUGCGACGCCGCGUGGGGGAGGAAGGUCUUCGGAUUGUAAACCCCUGUCAUGUGGGAGCAAGACUUCGGUUUGAUAGUACCACAAGAGGAAGAGACGGCAAACUCUGUGCCAGCAGCCGCGGUAAUACAGAGGUCUCAAGCGUUGUUCGGAAUCACUGGGCGUAAAGGGUACGUAGGCGGCAUCAUAAGUCGUGCGUGAAAGGCAGGGGCUCAACCUCUGGAGUGCGCGUGAUACUGUGAUGCUGGAGUAAUGGAGGGGGAACCGGAAUUCUUGGUGUAGCAGUGAAAUGCGUAGAUAUCAAGAAGAAGACUCGUGGCGAAGGCGGGUUCCUGGACAUUUACUGACGCUGAGGUACGAAGGCCAGGGUAGCGAAAGGGAUUAGAUACCCCUGUAGUCCUGGCAGUAAACGGUGCACGUUUGGUGUGCGGGGAAUCGACCCCCUGCGUGCCGGAGUUAACACGUUAAACGUGCCGCCUGGGGAGUACGGUCGCAAGAUUAAAACUCAAAGAAAUUGACGGGGACCCGCACAAGCGGUGGAGUAUGUGGCUUAAUUCGAUGCAACGCGAAGAACCUUACCAAGGCUUGACAUCCCGUGACCGUCUGUGAAAGCAGAUUUUCUAUUCGUAGACACGGAGACAGGUGCUGCAUGGCCGUCGUCAGCUCGUGUCGUGAGAUGUUUGGUUAAGUCCAGCAACGAGCGCAACCCCUGCUGCCAGUUACCAUCAUUAAGUUGGGGACUCUGGCGGGACUGCCCAGAUCAACUGGGAGGAAGGUGGGGACGACGUCAGGUCAGUAUGGCCCUUAUGCC
This 1157-nucleotide ribosomal RNA is filed under the name uncultured bacterium. RNAcentral's name for it is "bacterial SSU rRNA". It matches the Rfam family "Bacterial small subunit ribosomal RNA", at positions 19 to 1208 of the family's 1533-position model. The record is from RNAcentral.